Molecule: ribosomal RNA, 428 nt
Filed under: Bacteroidota bacterium
Lineage: Bacteria; Pseudomonadati; Bacteroidota
Description: Bacteroidetes bacterium partial 16S ribosomal RNA
Rfam family: Bacterial small subunit ribosomal RNA
Source: RNAcentral
UAGGGAAUCUUCGGCAAUGGGGGAACCCUGACCGAGCAACGCCGCGUGAGUGAAGAAGGUUUUCGGAUCGUAAAGCUCUGUUGUUAAGGAAGAACGAGUGUGAGAAUGGAAAGUUCAUGCUGUGACGGUACUUAACCAGAAAGGGACGGCUAACUACGUGCCAGCAGCCGCGGUAAUACGUAGGUCCCGAGCGUUGUCCGGAUUUAUUGGGCGUAAAGCGAGCGCAGGCGGUUAGAAAAGUCUGAAGUGAAAGGCAGUGGCUCAACCAUUGUAGGCUUUGGAAACUGGUUAACGUGAGUGCAGAAGGGGAGAGAGGAAUUCCAUGUGUAGCAGUGAAAUGCGUAGAUAUAUGGAGGAACACCGGUGGCGAAGGCGGCUCUCUGGUCUGUAACUGACGCUGAGGCUCGAAAGCGUGGGGAGCGAACAGG